Molecule: transfer RNA, 64 nt
Filed under: Parnassius epaphus (common red apollo)
Lineage: Eukaryota; Metazoa; Arthropoda; Insecta; Lepidoptera; Papilionidae
Description: tRNA-His
Source: RNAcentral
AUUUAAAUAAUUUAAUUAAAAUAUUGAUUUGUGGAAUCAAAAAUAUGAGUAAUCCUUUUAAAUU